GACGAACGCUGGCGGCGGGCUUAACACAUGCAAGUCGAACGGAAAGGCCGUGCUUUUGUGGGGUGCUCGAUUGGCGAUCGGGUGAGUAACAUGUGAGCAACCUGCCCUCGACUUAGGGGUAACUUCAGGAAACGGGGGCUAAUACCGGAUAGGAGCUCCUGUAGCAUGGUGGGGGCUGGAAAUUUUCGGCGGGUGGGGAUGGACUCGGGGCUUAUCAGCUUGUUGGUGGGGUAGUGGCUUACCAAGGCUUUGCCGGGUAGCCGGCCUGCGAGGGUGACCGGCCACGUUACGACUGGGAUACGGCACAGACUCCUACGGGAGGCAGGAGUGGAGAGUGUUGUACAGUGGGAUGGAGGCUGAUGCGAAAACGCCGCGUGCGGGAUGACGGCCUGCGGGUUGUGAACCGCAGCCGCCUGUGACGAGGCGUUAGUGACGGUAAUGGGAGAAGAAGCACCGGCUAACUACGUG
Molecule: ribosomal RNA, 468 nt
Filed under: uncultured bacterium
Lineage: Bacteria
Description: partial 16S ribosomal RNA
Rfam family: Bacterial small subunit ribosomal RNA
Source: RNAcentral